UGAAGAAGAACCUCGCUCCUGACUUUCAUUGGGCCUUGCAAUUCCUGUAUAUUGUUUGGAAGAACCAUCAACAACUUUCUUCAUGAUUGCAAUUGUUUGAUUUUCUAAUGUUUCUCUUCAUAUUUUCCAGUUGAGGGAAUGUGCAUUUUCUAGUUGAGGGAAUGUCCAUGCACGCCUGGUCAUUGGAGUUUCGGUGCAAAUUUUGCUUGGAAUGAAUACAUCUUUAAUUAUAUAUUGGCAACAUACAGGGAAAUUCAG
This is a long non-coding RNA of Magnolia sinica, 258 nucleotides long. RefSeq lists it as uncharacterized. The record is from RefSeq and is a predicted model, not a curated record. The transcript has 2 exons. Lineage: Eukaryota; Viridiplantae; Streptophyta; Magnoliopsida; Magnoliales; Magnoliaceae.